GGAUCCUAUGAUUCAGCCAAUACAGUUGCUAAGAUGCAAAAGGUUGUAAAGGAUGUAUUUCCAAACAAACAAGUUCAGAAUCCUUUAUGCCAAACUGAAAAUGUUGGACCAUUGGUUUCUGGAAGAAUGGUGUGACCAAAAUUGGUCAACAUACGUUACCUGAUAACCCUCCAUCCUUUGGUGUUUCUAAGGAUUCUGAUGAUGAUAGUAGUUGUCAUGGCGGUCAAAAUGACCUUCUCAUGGAUUGUCUCUCACAUGGCACCUGCGAAUGAAAAUUUCACUUGAUACUACUACAAGGUUUCCGAUAACUUCAUAAAAUCUAAUUGAUUAUUUGUGGUAUUGGUCUCGCUGGAAUUGGAGUUGAUGCUAAAUACACAAGUCAGAUGCAUGUGUAAAUCUCAAUUACACUAGAUAGAUGCAUAUGUAACUCUCAAUUAC
Long non-coding RNA from Papaver somniferum (opium poppy), 438 nucleotides. RefSeq lists it as uncharacterized. Lineage: Eukaryota; Viridiplantae; Streptophyta; Magnoliopsida; Ranunculales; Papaveraceae. The transcript has 3 exons. The record is from RefSeq and is a predicted model, not a curated record.